AGUGAACGCUGGCGGUAGGCCUAACACAUGCAAGUCGAACGGCAGCACAGUAAGAGCUUGCUCUUACGGGUGGCGAGUGGCGGACGGGUGAGGAAUACAUCGGAAUCUACUUUUUCGUGGGGGAUAACGUAGGGAAACUUACGCUAAUACCGCAUACGGCCUACGGGUGAAAGCAGGGGAUCUUCGGACCUUGCGCGAUUGAAUGAGCCGAUGUCGGAUUAGCUAGUUGGCGGGGUAAAGGCCCACCAAGGCGACAAUCCGUAGCUGGUCUGAGAGGAUGAUCAGCCACACUGGAACUGAGACACGGUCCAGACUCCUACGGGAGGCAGCAGUGGGGAAUAUUGGACAAUGGGCGCAAGCCUGAUCCAGCCAUACCGCGUGGGUGAAGAAGGCCUUCGGGUUGUAAAGCCCUUUUGUUGGGAAAGAAAAGCAGCAGGUUAAUACCCCGCUGUUCUGACGGUACCCAAAGAAUAAGCACCGGCUAACUUCGUG
RNAcentral lists this ribosomal RNA (492 nucleotides) under uncultured bacterium. Its description in RNAcentral is "partial 16S ribosomal RNA". It matches the Rfam family "Bacterial small subunit ribosomal RNA", at positions 29 to 507 of the family's 1533-position model. The record is from RNAcentral.